Non-coding RNA from Caenorhabditis elegans, 303 nucleotides. The record is from Ensembl. NCBI's taxonomy places the organism in Eukaryota, Metazoa, Nematoda, Chromadorea, Rhabditida, Rhabditidae.
GAAUGUCCGAUCAGUUUGAGUUUAUCAGUUUGGAGCAAUUGGAGCAAUCGGAGCCCACCAAAAAACUGAUUAAAAAUUCUGAAAAUCGCGCUGAAAAUAAUGGCUGGAACUCGAAAGUUUAUGAGAAGGCUUUCAGUGAUGUGGAGCAGUGGCUGGAGAAGGAUCGGCGGAACUCUACCAAAAAAUAACUGAAUUUUUGUUUCGAAAUUCCAAUUUCAAAUUUCUUAUCUUAUCUAUACACUAUCAGUUCAGUUGUUUGAACAUGUUUUUUUUUAAACACCAACCAACUAAUAAAACAUUGCA